Molecule: small RNA, 867 nt
Filed under: Pan troglodytes (chimpanzee)
Lineage: Eukaryota; Metazoa; Chordata; Mammalia; Primates; Hominidae
Description: retained intron
Source: RNAcentral
AAAUCCUCUUAUUCUGUCUUUUAGCAUCCAGACCUCACCACAGGCCAGAAGCGUUACCUGUGCAGCAUUGCUAAAAUCUAUAAUGCAAACUAUCUGAAGAUGUUAAUGAAGAGGCAGUACAUGCACGUACUUCAGCACAGCUCACAAAAGCCAGGCAGGUGCACCUCCAGUUGUCUUUUCACUAGUUUUUACAAUUAGUGAGAGGGUCUUUUAACAGGUGAUUUGUAUCACAGGUGUCCUCACUCAUCACAGAAGCCGCCUUAGCUCCCGUUACUCACAGAAACAGCAUUACCCUUGCACUACAUGGCGACAUCAACUGGAGAGAGAGGACUCGGGGUCUUCUGAUAUCGCAGCUGCAUCUGCACCUGAAAUGCUCAUACAGCAUUCCCUUUGGCGGCCAGUGAGAAACAAAGAAGGGAUAAAAACUGGAUAUGCAUCUAAAACAAGAUGUAAGUCACUGAAGAUUUUUAGAAGACCAAGGAAACUGUUCAUGCAAACAGUUUCUUCAGAUGAUUCUGAAUCAUACAUGAGUGAAGAAAAAAAGGAAGAAGAUUUACUAAAUAAGUUUAUGCAAUCAAUGUCAAUUGAAGAACAGGGAGAACAUCUGAUGUUAACUUGACAGUCUUGUCUCGUGUAUUGAAUUCGUGCCAAAGGUGAGGGUAAGGGGUUGUGAGUUGUGUCCUGUAUGUUUAGGAUGGUAUUGUUAUUUAUUAAAUCAUUAAGUAAUUUUGGUUUGUUCAGAAACUUAAAACAAUGUAAUUGGUCUGAUGUAGUUCCAUGUACCAAUGACAGUUAUGUACGAAAAUUUACAUGUAACAUAUACUUGUACUUCUAGCUAGAUACAAUUAAAACUUUUCUUGCAUUCAA